RNAcentral lists this long non-coding RNA (702 nucleotides) under Homo sapiens (human). Its description in RNAcentral is "HSALNT0299525". Lineage: Eukaryota; Metazoa; Chordata; Mammalia; Primates; Hominidae. The record is from RNAcentral.
CUCUUUCUGUUCAUAAACAUUCUUCCACGACGUGCUGUGCUGGAAUCCCUGAGCCUGCUCUGGCCUGGGAGGCUGCCUGAUUUGCUAAUUGGUGACAUCAACCAAAGCCCUGAAAGUGAUUCUGGCAGAAAACGAACAUGUCUCUGCGAAGCAGGUGAAGAGCCCGAGACUUUGGAAUAGACACACUGGCAGCGACGGGGAUGAGACCUCACCAGGGAGGAGGUGCUAAGCCCAACUGCAGGAUGUCUCUGGGUGUCCUCCAGGCACCCCAGCUUUGAAGGCACCCCACCAACCCGGGAUCCACAAACGUUUCCGCCAGAUGUGCAGCCCUUGGAGCAAGUCGUGAAACAACUGCUUUGAAGAUGAAGAGCCCUCGGAGCACGCUAAGUAGCUGUAUUAUUGUCGUGCAGUGUGUGUCACCCUGCGGAGGAUUCAACUCCCAGCACUGUCACCGCUGGGGAAUUAGUGAAAGGCAAACUCAGCCGGAAAUGCCGAGUGCCAAAAAAGAGGAGCGAAUAAAAUGCUGGGGGUGGGAGGAAGGGGACGGUGGGUGCCUGAGCUUUGAAAUUCUGCCACUGAAAGUUCUCUCCCAUGGUUCCUUUUCCAACCCGCCCCGAGUGCAACAACUGGACCCGCCAUGUGACAGGCGCUGCAGACGGAUCGCGUUUCACACAUGCAGCUGUAAUAUCUGGCACACAGGUG